UACAAACCAGGCAGCCAGAAAUGUAAGGAGGCUGAGAAAAGGGUACUGAAAGAAGGUAAAGUACCCCACUCAGUCUUCCAGUUUUUCAAAACAGACAAGGUCUUUCUGCAGUCUGUCUCAGGAAAUAUGCUAAGGAAGUAGAUGAGCAAAAACAAGAUGAAAAUGACUGGCAACUGAUGGUGAGGAAAAGCUGCUAGAUGCAUCACGCGACUCCAGACUAAUGCUUUCAGUAGAUGGGCAGAUAAUACCAUCAUAUUCAGAAGGAUGUUUACAAAAAGCAGGAGAGAGCCGUGUGCAUGUUUUUGUUUUUGCUUUCAAAAUUCCAAGCAUGUGACCUUAAAAAAAAAAAAGGUCUAUCCAUACAAAUGUUCUUCUAUGUGAUGCCUUGACUUUUGAAUUAUGGCAUGCAUAAUUUUCUUGAUUUUCCCCUCAUGUUAUUUAUUUGUUAGUGAAUCAGCUUCCACACACAUGCCUCAAGAUGAUGGAUAAAAUUAAAUAAAAACAGUUAAAAACAACACUGAUGAAAUAAGGCCAGGCAAAUUUUAAAAACAAUGUGACAUAGGUAACUGUUGUGUAGACCUGUUCAUUCAGCUAGGAAACGUAAGACUUCCACCAAGAGGCAAGAAUAGUUUUAGAGCUUUAGCUAUAUCCUUAUCAAGCGUGAACCUCCAAUAGAAAUUCAAUUCUCUGCAAGCUGUGUAAGGCUCCUCUUCAAGCUGGAUGCUGUAUUUAAAAAUCAUGUGAAAAGCUCCAUUGUGGACAAAAUGUAGAAAAUAUCAUGUCAGGAUUAAAAUAGCAACUUUUAUUUCAUGACCAGCGAUGGUUUGCGUGGGAUGGGAAUGGAGACAAAUGUGGGAGGGGCCCUUGUUGGGUUGGGUGGGCCCUUGUCCUGAUCCAGCAGGCUCUUGUGUUCUUAUGGGAGAUGCACAGUGCAAUGACAUUCCAUCACACAUUGUGGGUGUGGGACACUGUAAGUCAGGGAUGGGGAACCUUCAGCUCCCAUCAUCCUGGUUCUGCCCCAGACCAACAUAGCAGUAAUGUAAUAAUGUCACUGUCUUUAAACCAAAGGUUAUCUUGUGUAUGCUGCUGCUUUUUUUGUUGCAUUGCGUUGUAUUUGGUUUAUUUACACUGAUUGUUUUACAAUUUUAUGUUUUAUUUUUCAGCAUUUAUUACUGAUCACUGCUCGGAGUAAACAACACGGGGCCAAUGUAGCAUGUGAUCAGGAACCAAAGGACUGCUGCUUGUGGCAAGGAGGCAAACAGGAGAGAGGAGGUAAGAGGUAAGAGGAGGUAAUCCUCUCACCACCAUCUACAGCUACCCCCUUUGUCCUGCUAACUUGCACCUGCUGAGCCUCUUACCAUUUGGCAAGUCAGCCCCAGCAGCUGAGAGCAGCAGCAGUUGUGUUAUCUCGGCACCUGCAGCCAAUCUGCAUCUGGCUGCAGCACCAACUACAAAGCAUAGACAGAGCCGCUGCUACAAUUAUUUUAACUAUUUCUUCAGAUGAAGGUCAGUAUGGAAAUAAUAAUAAUAAUAAUAAUGCUGCAAAUAAACAAAUUCAUCAAAAUAAUUCAAAAAUAUUGAAUUAUACCUGAAAGUAGAUCCUAUUAUUUCUAGGUGAACUGAAGGCGAAUUAAGUGUCUUUUGUGUAGAACUUUGGGAGAUGUUAAAUUCAAUUCUCUUUCUCUCUCUGGGUUUCUUCACACUUACUCUCUGUUUAAUUGUUGCCAUUGCAGUUACCAUUUUUAACCUAUCUGAAAAGUGAUGUAGCUGUUUACGUUUUAAAGAUCACAAUUGUUGGGGGGGGGGAAUAAACAAACAAUUGUUCACAUUUACACUGUGUAUAGGUUUCGGUGCUUUCUUAGUCUAUUUUAUACUUUAAGCAGAGCAGCUUGUAAAAUUCUGAAGGCUGAAAAACAACACUGAGGACCACUUGAACGAACUGUGAAUUAAACUGAAACAGAUUUGGUUACUUUCUCAUACAGUCAUAGAAUUGUAGAGUUGGAAGGGACCCAAAGAGGCAUCUAGUCCAACCCUCUCCAAUGCAGGACUCAUUUGGAAGGGGUGAACUAGGGUUGGAACAAAUUAUUUUUUGGAAGUGGAGACCUGGAACUGGAACUAAUUCCUUUUAAAAAUGAACUUUCCAAGCACUGUUACUGAUAAAACUGUAUAUUCAUUAUGCAUUUAAGCCACCUUGAGAAGGCUGUAUUCAUGAAAGGUGGCUUAAAAAUAUUUGACUAUAUAUAAUCAUAUAAUAAAUAAAAUUAUCGUUGCUUAAACAUUUUAGAUUUUGAAAAUACAUUUUACAAAGCCCUUUUACAACAACAAAAUAACUAGCUUUUAAGAGUCAGCAAAUUGUCUGUUAGGCUUGUGUAGUAGUCUGGGCUGAACUACAUAAUAUCUGUUUGCUUGUUUCUUCCCAUGCCUACAUUGGCUUAGCAAAAUACUGUCAUUUUCUGACUCCAUCUGCUAUAUAUGAUAUGAUGAAUGUAGCCAUUCUUCUUUCCCCAUCAUUACAGCUGGUCUUUGAUCCAAAGCAGCUAAUUUAUAUUUACCAUCUAACAGCUACCAUCAUAAGUUUUAGGGAAAGAGGCUCAGGCACACCUGGGCAGAAUGAAUUUUCUUUGAUGCAGUUGGAGAAUAUCUCAAAAUGUGAUUAAGAGUCAUUCAUCCUACUCUUGAUGGGCCACAUGGGAAUCAUCUUUAACUUUCAUAGCGGAGAGCAUUUGUUUGCUUAAAUCACCAUAAAUACUUCCAAAUUCAUUUGAUGUUAUAAUCUGCUGCCAUCAUUACAUCACAGUCAUCUAAGGGUACCUGUUUUCCCUUAUAUGUUGAGAUCAAGUUGCAUAUAGCUUCCUAGGCCAGCAUCUCUUCCCAACCCAACAUGGAAAUUAAUAUAAACUUAGACUGAAGUUAAAGGUUUACUUGUAUUUAACAGCUGUAGAUGUAUGGUUACAGGAUUACGUCUUCUGCAAAAACUUGUUGACAUGUUAAUAUAUUUAAGGAAAUCCCUGACAGUCACAACAUAAAACACUCCUAAUUUCAGAAUUGGGUAAUUUUACACAGCAUAGUCACAGUCCAAACCUGUUUGCAUGUAGCCAUAGUUAACUACUCUCAGCAGUGCCAGUUAACACUUUAGCAGGGAUUGCAUACAACAAGGAAGGUGAUGUUCAGUAUAUCCAGUUGAGUCUAUAGAUAUGUGAGGCCCUGGCUGGUGGAUUGUAUUGUGGAAUUGUGCUCAGAGCAGCUAUUUGCACGCAAUUCCUUAUUUAGCUGGGGAUAUUACUGUAAAUCUAUUAAACACUAAUAAGAACUGAACCUAUCAGGUUGGAUAGAGAGAGAUGCUGUCACAGGGCAGGAAAUUAGUAUAUAAACUGAAGGUAGUAUCAGCAUUAAGGAAAGUAAUCUGUACCUGUGGUUUGAACAGCACAACCAUAAAAUGGUGCAAACUGCACUUUGUUUCAUCUUUGUAUAUAUAAAAAAAUGCAAACUGGUCCAUCCUCCAUACCCCGCAAGUGUUCCCAGAAAAACCAGGCCAUCCUGUUUUUCCCCAUGAGAGCAUGCUGGCCAUUGGGGGCACCAUGAUAUUGUGCCGAGAUCUCACCCCCCAACCACUUUUUCAGGGCUGCAGUCUUGCCCUCCUCCCCUUUUAGGAUCUGUGAUUUUGCACAGGUCAUGUGACUCAUGAGGGACCACGGAUGGGAAGACACAUGUCCCGGUUUUGCGACUCAACAUAUUGGAGGGUAUGCAUCCUCUUCAUAAUAGGGUAAGAUUUAUGAAGUAUAGAAAGCUGCCUUCUACCAAGGCACACUUAUUUGUCCAUCUAGUAUAGUACUGUCAGCUUUGGAUAGCAGCAGCUCUCCAGGAUCUCAGGCAGAGAGCUUUCCGAAUACCUGCCACCUGAUAUUUUUAACUGGAAAUGUCGAAGAUUAAGCCCUUAAAGCAGGUGGGGGAAACUUUUGGCCUUCCAGAUGUUAACUGAAAUAUGACUCCCACCAGCCCCUGCAAUCAUGGCCAAUGGCAAGGGAGGUGGAGUUGUAUUUCAGCAUCAUCUGGAGACCCACAGGUUCCCUGCACCUGCUUUAAAGCUUUACAAUGAGUUUUUAAAGUUAGCUAGUUUUAAGUUCCUUUGGGGGCCAAAAAUUGAGUCAGAAAUAAUUUUAUAAAUAAACACAGUAAAAAAGAAAAGAAAAAGGGAACCUUCUACAGGUGAAUCAUCUGCUCUACAACUUAGCUAUGGCCUCUCCCCUAAUUUAAUAUUAUAUAAUUUUAUAUUAAUCUGUGCUCUGUUUUGACCUCCUUUUGUGCAAAGUGUAAGAGGCCACAAGUGUGAUAUGUGGGGGGCUGGUGCUUAUUUGGUUUAGCAUCUCAGCAUUGUCUACUCAAAGGACCAGUUUCAUUCCUACUGAUAUUUGCAUGGUGGCUCAGGAUGUUUCUCCAUCACACUGUUGUAGCACUGCUCUGGAAUGAAUGCAUAAGUCAGGGUGGUGGCACUGAAUGAAUGACCCUGUCAAUUCCUAUGGACACAGCUUUACUGUUAGUCCAGCAUAGGGUCAGUCUGUUUGUUCUGCAAUAUAAAAAGAAAGGUUUAUUGGGUAAGUUUCUGCCAGUUUUCAUCAGGUCUUAUGCAAAAGCUUCCAAAGCCAUGGAAUAUGACUGUGAUUGUGCUAUCUUUGCACAUCCCACAGUGUGAAUUUAGGUGUGUUUACGCAGAAGUACAUCCCAUUGUAUUCAGUGGGACUUACUCUCUGGUAAGUAUUCCUAAGAUUGCAGCCUGAUGAUUUAUAAAACACAUGUUGGAAAUGCUCACAAAGGAUUUCAAGUACAUCAUCUCAGUAAUCCUUAGAACAAAAGGAUCACAGCAGCCAUAUAACUUUGGCUAGGAUUAUUCUCCCCAUUUUUCAGAAAGGGGGCUGAGGCUAAAAAGAAUAGUCACUAGCAUAAUACCACUGGGUGAGUUAAAGAAUGGGUUGAAAUCUGCACAAUGGCUCACACUCUUACCCACUAUGCAAUAAUUAUACUAUACUAUACUAUACUAUACUAUACUAUACUAUACUAUACUAUUAUUUAAAUCCGCCCAUCUGCCUGGGUUUCCCCAGCCACUCAGGGUGGCUCCCAACAGAAUAUG
Molecule: non-coding RNA, 5125 nt
Organism: Podarcis lilfordi (Lilford's wall lizard)
Lineage: Eukaryota; Metazoa; Chordata; Lepidosauria; Squamata; Lacertidae
Source: the annotation of a GenBank genome assembly